Long non-coding RNA from Lepidothrix coronata (blue-crowned manakin), 377 nucleotides. RefSeq lists it as uncharacterized. Lineage: Eukaryota; Metazoa; Chordata; Aves; Passeriformes; Pipridae. The transcript has 3 exons. The record is from RefSeq and is a predicted model, not a curated record.
CUGGGCUGGACAAGGGCCAGGGCAGCAGUGCUGGGGCAUUUUUAAGGCCGUUGAGUGUCACCCAAAUCCUGACGUGCUGAGCAUCCUGCAAUGCUUACUGUGGGUGGGUGACCAGGCAGAAGACAUUGUGCAAGAGCUCCUGUAGCACCAUGAGGAGCAGCGGAGCUGGGAGCUCUACUGGCUGUCCAGGCAGAGCAGUGCAGGCUCUGACAGCCGGAGUUCUGAGGAUGAGAGGGAGGAGGAAGAUAAUAAGCACCAGAGCACUGCCAGCUGAGCAGCGGAGUGGAUCUGCCGAUGAGUCAUUCCUACAUCCAUGCCGGAGAAAGUUGUUGUGAUUCGUCCUCUCUCAUGUGACAAACUGAAGUCAAAUACCUGCU